UACAGAGGGUGCUAGCGUUGUUCGGAAUCAUUGGGCGUAAAGGGCGUGUAGGUGGUUUGUUAAGCCAGCUGUGAAAUCCCCGGGCUCAACCUGGGCACUGCAGUUGGAACUGGCAAGCUAGAGUAGGGUAGAGGGGUGUGGAAUUCCAGGUGUAGCGGUGAAAUGCGUAGAUAUCUGGAGGAACAUCAGUGACGAAGGCGACACCCUGGACUCAUACUGACACUGAGGUGCGAAAGCGUGGGGAGCAAACAGG
RNAcentral lists this ribosomal RNA (253 nucleotides) under uncultured prokaryote. RNAcentral's name for it is "partial 16S ribosomal RNA". It matches the Rfam family "Bacterial small subunit ribosomal RNA", at positions 524 to 776 of the family's 1533-position model. The record is from RNAcentral.